Molecule: long non-coding RNA, 1920 nt
Filed under: Ricinus communis (castor bean)
Lineage: Eukaryota; Viridiplantae; Streptophyta; Magnoliopsida; Malpighiales; Euphorbiaceae
Description: long non-coding RNA (RCOM_LNC003169)
Source: RNAcentral
UAUGAUAUCAUAGGAGCAAAAAGCAGCUUUAAGGGAAGCAUACAUGAAUAAAACAAAUAAAAGAAAAAAAGAACACAUGACUGUCACGAUCCUUAUGACCAAGACUGCACUCCAAACAUAACGAAUAGUGCCACAGUAAGAAGGUUUUAUAGGAAUAUAAAAGGAUUCUACAAAAAAACUUGUUAUUUAUCUAUUGUUAUUUUAUCUUCUUUUAGUAAAAUAUGCUAUUAUUUUGUUUGCUAGUAUCUAGUCAUGAUUUAGAUAUGAUAUUCCAAUCAUUUGUUAUUAAUAGUAUUGAAAUAUAUGGGACAACUAUUCAUAAUUAUCAAUAUAAUUUCCUACUUAAUGCUAUUUCUUUCUCUCUUUCUCUCUCCACUAUCUUCCUCCAUUCUUCUUCUUCUCUUCUGAAACUUUUAUUCUCUUUGUUUUUUUUUUCUUUCUUAUUUUGUUUCUUAUGCACAAUUACUGUUUUAUUGAAUUAAUAUUGUGCUAACCUGCUAGUCAUGGUUUUCCAUGACCUUGGUACAUGGCAGGUGAUAUCAAAGUUGUUCCAUGCUAGGGAUUGCUUUUGAUUUUAGUUGCUUUCUCCUUUUCUGAUCUCAAUUCUUUUCUUUCAUCUUCCUAUUUUGUUUCUUCUUGAUCUCAUCUUUAAUCUUUUUUUUACUCUUUUAAUUUGUUGAUUACCAAACAUGAUUUCACAUUCAAAGUUAACCCUAAGACUAAGAGAGCUUAUACAAAUCUUUAACCUAAACACUAGAAAUAUUAGCAUGUUAUGUCGGCAAUUGGAAGAAGAUUUCAGCAUGUAUUUAUUUUAUAAGAAAGCAUAUAAAAGAACAAGCUGAGUUGUUUAUGUUUGAUCAAGACAAAAAUCUUGAUACUGAAGUGGGGGCUUUUGAAUCAAAUGAAGAAGAUGAUGAGCUCGUGCAAUCAUAAACUCCAGCUGAAAAAUCUAUUUUAAUGACUAUUGCUCCAUCAACAAACAAUCAUUGCAAAGGUGAUGAAGACAUCAAAGAUAUUACAAUCAUCAAUUCAAAAUCGUAAGAGUUUCUUCUAUAUUGAUCAGAUUGCUCUUAAUAUUUAUAAAAAUAGAAUGCAGGAACCAUGUGUAGAUUAACCAAUUUUUGAAUCAGAUUUUUGCUUAAUUAGUGGUAUAAUAAUUUCUAAGGAUUUAGAUGAUUGAUUUACUCAGAAAAAGGUUGUAUGUGGUUAUGCUUAUGGUGAUUGGUUAUGAAAAUUUCAAAGGAAAAUAGAAUUAAAAGAAGUAUACAAAUUGAGUAUUAUGCGCCUCCAAGGUGUUUGUGAAAAUAAAAAUGGGGAUUGUUGAUGCUAUUGUUUUCAUGUGCCUAAAUAGAUAUGUAAUGAUGUUUUCAUUCUCGAAGAAAUGGAGUUUGAGAAAUGGAGAAGGCAAAGGAAAAGAAUGAAAUUCUUGUUAACAUUUGCAAACUUUUGUAUCUUCCAUGUUAGCUUGUUAAAGAUAAAAUACCCUCAUGAAAAAGUAAUAUCAAGGGAAUGUGCUUUAAUUCCUAUGGUCCAAAUUAUUACUAAUGGAGGGCCUUAGGAGGACUACUAUUCAUGGUGUAUCAAGUUCCUGAAAUUUUCCUCAAGGACAAGGAAAAUGUCCAAAGGAGGGGUAAUGUCAGGAUUCUUAUGAGCUCAAGGACUAAGGUUGCAUUCCAAGCACAAUUGAUAGUGCCACAAUAGGAAGAUUCCAUGGGAAUAUCAGAAAUGUCUAAAGAAUUGGAGGGGAUUUUGCAAAAAAACUUGUUAUUUAUCUAUUAUUAAUUUAUUGUAUUAAUUGUCAAUGUCUUUUAGUAAAUUAGUUAGUAAAAUUAGUUGUUAUUUUGUUUGCCAAUAUCUAGUCAUGAUUUGAAUAAGAUACUUCUAAUAAUUUGUUAUUAAUAGUGCUGAGAUAUAUAUGGG